This 548-nucleotide long non-coding RNA is filed under the name Rattus norvegicus (Norway rat). RNAcentral describes it as "long non-coding RNA NONRATT026451". The record is from RNAcentral. Lineage: Eukaryota; Metazoa; Chordata; Mammalia; Rodentia; Muridae.
CGGGAGGACGCGGACAUGGCGGCUAGCAGCUCUUCCGGCCUCGCGCAGGGCGCCAGCCCGUCGUCCAGGAUGAAGAGCACUGUCAGCCUGGCCCUGGCACCUACCAGCCAGCCGCCUGCACCUAGAGGAGGAGUCACAGUGGGGUACAGCUGCUCCCAGCCCCACCCCAGCCAGGGCCCCACAUCCAACAGCCGGUCCCGGGGUCCUGUGCCUACCACAGCAUCCACCCACCAGGAGGAUGGUCACAGCUGCCGAGAGAAGGCGACCAAGAGCCGCACAGACUCACGGGAGCGGCCAGCCAGGUCGCUCUCCCGGCCAGGACCAAGCUCCCGCAGCCCCGACUCGGACUCGGUGUCGCCGGACUCGUGGGGUGGCCCGGUCCUAGGACCCUGGGACCCCACCUUUACCAGCGACGCGCUGCCGUUCCUGGACAGGCUGCCGAAGCCCAAGGCGGGCCCCAGGCCGCCCUCCAUGCACUACUGCGAAGUUUGCAGGGUCAGCUGCGCGGGGCCGCAGACCUAUCGGGACCACCUGGAAGGGCAGAAGCA